CACAGAGCAGCCUCUGUUUGACUCCUCAGCUCCUGUUUAACCACUUCCCUCCAAACAGCAGCACAGGCAGUGACAAGCCAUUUGAUCCAGUGGUGCUGAGAGUCUUCAUGCAGAGUUGACCUCCUGCUACAUAAUGAGGCAGAAAAUGCCCUGCAAUAUUGGAAGUGUGUAAGAAAUAGUUGGCUUCAUACCCAAACCAGAAAACUGGGGCUCAG
This 215-nucleotide long non-coding RNA is filed under the name Parus major (Great Tit). RNAcentral describes it as "lncRNA (ENSPMJG00000014028.1)". The record is from RNAcentral. Lineage: Eukaryota; Metazoa; Chordata; Aves; Passeriformes; Paridae.